CAGCCGCCGCGGGAAUACGUAGGGUGCGAGCGUUAAUCGGAAUUACUGGGUGUAAAGCGUGCGCAGGCGGUUUUGUAAGACAGGCGUGAAAUCCCCGGGCUCAACCUGGGAAUGGCGCUUGUGACUGCAAAGCUAGAGUGCGGCAGAGGGUGAUGGAAUUCCGCGUGUAGCAGUGAAAUGCGUAGAUAUGCGGAGGAACACCGAUGGCGAAGGCAAUCCCCUGGGCCUGCACUGACGCUCAUGCACGAAAGCGUGGGGAGCAAACAGGAUUAGAUACCCGCGUAGUCCCUGUCUCUUAUAC
Molecule: ribosomal RNA, 301 nt
Filed under: uncultured bacterium
Lineage: Bacteria
Description: partial 16S ribosomal RNA
Rfam family: Bacterial small subunit ribosomal RNA
Source: RNAcentral